AAUGCAGUCGUACGCUUCUUUUUCCACCGGAGCUUGCUCCCACCGGAAAAAGAAGAGUGGCGAACGGGUGAGUAACACGUGGGUAACCUGCCCAUCAGAAGGGGAUAACACUUGGAAACAGGUGCUAAUACCGUAUAACAAUCGAAACCGCAUGGUUUUGAUUUGAAAGGCGCUUUCGGGUGUCGCUGAUGGAUGGACCCGCGGUGCAUUAGCUAGUUGGUGAGGUAACGGCUCACCAAGGCUACGAUGCAUAGCCGACCUGAGAGGGUGAUCGGCCACAUUGGGACUGAGACACGGCCCAAACUCCUACGGGAGGCAGCAGUAGGGAAUCUUCGGCAAUGGACGAAAGUCUGACCGAGCAACGCCGCGUGAGUGAAGAAGGUUUUCGGAUCGUAAAACUCUGUUGUUAGAGAAGAACAAGGAUGAGAGUAACUGUUCAUCCCUUGACGGUAUCUAACCAGAAAGCCACGGCUAACUACGUGCCAGCAGCCGCGGUAAUACGUAGGUGGCAAGCGUUGUCCGGAUUUAUUGGGCGUAAAGCGAGCGCAGGCGGUUUCUUAAGUCUGAUGUGAAAGCCCCCGGCUCAACCGGGGAGGGUCAUUGGAAACUGGGAGACUUGAGUGCAGAAGAGGAGAGUGGAAUUCCAUGUGUAGCGGUGAAAUGCGUAGAUAUAUGGAGGAACACCAGUGGCGAAAGCGGCUCUCUGGUCUGUAACUGACGCUGAGCUCGAAAGCGUGGGGAGCAAACAGAUUAGAUACCCUGGUAGUCCACGCCGUAAACGAUGAGUGCUAAGUGUUGGAGGGUUUCCGCCCUUCAGUGCUGCAGCUAACGCAUUAAGCACUCCGCCUGGGGAGUACGACCGCCACGUUGAAACUCAAAGGAGUUGACUGGGGCCCGCACAACGGUGGAGCAUGUGGUUUAAUUCGAAGCAUCGCGAGAACCUUACCAGUCUGACAUCUUUGACGCUCUAGAGAUAGA
This 978-nucleotide ribosomal RNA is filed under the name Enterococcus durans. Its description in RNAcentral is "bacterial SSU rRNA". It matches the Rfam family "Bacterial small subunit ribosomal RNA", at positions 54 to 1010 of the family's 1533-position model. Lineage: Bacteria; Bacillati; Bacillota; Bacilli; Lactobacillales; Enterococcaceae. The record is from RNAcentral.